Molecule: long non-coding RNA, 1337 nt
Organism: Astatotilapia calliptera (eastern happy)
Lineage: Eukaryota; Metazoa; Chordata; Actinopteri; Cichliformes; Cichlidae
Source: Ensembl
GACUGUGCUCGCUGAGACAGCUAUUUACACCACGUCCUAUAGGAGCUGAGCAGGAAAAGCUAGUGCUUCAGUAAAGUGGAAUGGGUAACACUUUAUACUAAGCAUCACCAUCAAAAAUUUGUAGUUAGCUAAAGCUUUUUUAAUAAUUAUUUUACUGGAAACAAACAAUGGGAUGAUAAUUAACUAAUUGAAAAAUGAUUGGUUUGUAAGUGCUUUGCAGUGGAACAUUAACAUGUCACAGUCUGGCGGCAAAGCUGACUGUGUGGACUGAGAAGGUGGACCCAAGAGCAUCACGGGAAGAGACAAAACAAAACUUAAGUGACAAAAAUGGGCGAUUGUGGUUCAGGGGGUUGGGAAGCUCAUCUUGUAACCGGAAGGUCGCCAAUCCCCAGCUCUGUAAGUCUUGGUCGUUGUGGGCAAGACACUUCACCUACCGCCUACUGGUGAUGACCAGAGGGGCCGAUGGCACGAUAUGGCAGCCUUGCUUCUGUCAGUCUGCCCCAGGGCAGCUGUGGCUACGAGUGUAGCUUUCCUCCACCAGUGUGUGAAUGUGUAUGAAUAGUGAAUGAAUAGUGUAAAGCGCUUUGAGGGUCUCGAAAAGCGCUAUAUAAAUACAAUCCAUUAUUAUUAUUAAAAAAUAUAAAAUAUGUGAAAGCUGCAGCAAUCGCAUGAUAGUACCAAAAAAAAGUACAAAAAAAAGUACAAAACAAAAGGCAGAGACGAAACUAAACAAUAACUUAAACUGGGUGAACUAAGAUUAAAACAUGAAAAAACUUGAGCGUGCGACCUGGCAUGGAUACAUGGGAAAAACCUGGAAAAACGAUGUGAACUUAGCAGACGACCUGACGACGAAUGACUGGAAACUCACAGGCUAAAUGCACACAUGAGGUGAUCAGGGAAAGUGGAAACACAUGGGGACAGCUGAUAUGAAUGAACAUAACAACGUCGCAGGGGGAGAGUAAAACUAAACACGUUGAACAUGGGAACUUAAGAGCUCUUCAAAAUAAAACAGGAAACAUAAUGAGACACAGACAUGACAACACAAGACACGCAGACAUGAAACACAUGAAGGGCUUUUUGUGAUUUAAACCCACUGAUCAUGUCCUGUUUCAUUCACUUUUAAGUUUUACUGGGUGAAAUGCAACACCAAGCCAUGACAGCGCUUCUACUAUGUUUAUAGGUAAUUGCAGAAACUCACUGUUAUACCUCUAGAAUAUCCUCCUCUCUACACAUUGACACUGAUUUGAACCAUAAAUGUAAAUUUGGAUUCUUCACUCUAUAAACCUUUUCUCCCUAAAUCCUUUGCUUAAGAAUGAUUUCUUGAAAUUCACUUUUUC